RNAcentral lists this ribosomal RNA (460 nucleotides) under uncultured bacterium. RNAcentral's name for it is "partial 16S ribosomal RNA". It matches the Rfam family "Bacterial small subunit ribosomal RNA", at positions 338 to 795 of the family's 1533-position model. The record is from RNAcentral.
CCUACGGGAGGCAGCAGUGAGGAAUAUUGGUCAAUGGACGAGAGUCUGAACCAGCCAAGUAGCGUGAAGGAUGACUGCCCUAUGGGUUGUAAACUUCUUUUAUAUGGGAAUAAAAUGUUCCACGUGUGGGAUUUUGUAUGUACCAUAUGAAUAAGGAUCGGCUAACUCCGUGCCAGCAGCCGCGGUAAUACGGAGGAUCCGAGCGUUAUCCGGAUUUAUUGGGUUUAAAGGGAGCGUAGGUGGAUUGUUAAGUCAGUUGUGAAAGUUUGCGGCUCAACCGUAAAAUUGCAGUUGAAACUGGCAGUCUUGAGUACAGUAGAGGUGGGCGGAAUUCGUGGUGUAGCGGUGAAAUGCUUAGAUAUCACGAAGAACUCCGAUUGCGAAGGCAGUUCACUGGACUGCAACUGACACUGAGGCUCGAAAGUGUGGGUAUCAAACAGGAUUAGAUACCCGAGUAGUA